Molecule: long non-coding RNA, 3162 nt
Organism: Papaver somniferum (opium poppy)
Lineage: Eukaryota; Viridiplantae; Streptophyta; Magnoliopsida; Ranunculales; Papaveraceae
Exons: 4
Source: RefSeq, a predicted model, not a curated record
UCUCUCGAUAAUCCUUGUAUCAAUUAUUACAGACGGAUCUUAUCCCUCUAUUCUUAUGAUUUUUUCUAAGAGAAAAAAUCUGUGGUCUCUAGGAUUUCAUCUUCUGCUUCAAUCCUUACAUAAUUUUCAUUCUUCUCUAAUAACCUUUUCAAUCUCGAAUUUUUGAUGUCCCAAAUUUGUAUUCUUCAUCUCCAUCGUGUUCCCGGAAAAAUAUUCACGGUUAAUUCGGCACCUAAAAAGGAUUUUUUUGAUGGCGUCAGUACAAGUAAUUGGUUCAGGAAUCGGUACUUGAAGCUUAUUGCCUUCAUUUGAUGGAUUUAGUAGAUCUGGAAUGAUAAAUCAUCGCUGAUGAAUAACCCUACAAAUGAUGGCGCAGACUGGUGGUGUAUUGUACCGUUCCUGUUGGUUGUUGCCGAAUUCAACAGGUGGGUUGGGAAGGGAUGUGUUGCAACUGCAAGUUACUGGUGGUAUUAGCCUAAGAAAGGGUAGCUGCGAAUGGCGAGAAGGGGCUUUUGCUGUGGCUUGAGAUGCAGGAAUGGUUGGUGUUGUAUGAAAGUCAGGUGGUUACGAUUGCGAUGAACCUGAAUUGGGAGGCAGUGGAAGGAGGUGGUGGAUGUGUAGUUUUGGAGCUGAUAUCCAGCUUUCGAGUACUCGUCACAAAAUCACAAUGUGGUCCAAGUCAGUUAUGAUGACUACAAGAAAUGCAACGCUGCAUCACCAAUGAAAACCUUCACUUCUGGCAAAGAUACAAUUCCAAUUAAGCUCAAGGGACACCUUUUCUACAUCUGUGGAUUUUGAGACAACUGUAAAAAGGGACAGAAGGUUGGUAUUAGAGUUGUUGAUGCCCUUAAAGCUCAAACUCCACCUUUAGCACAAGCACCUUCUUCUUUCGCUCCUACACCUUCAGCAUCAGUCAGUGCCCCAGCUCCUUCAACAAAGAUCUUAUGAUCUUAUAUUACCAAUUCCUUUUUAAUGUUAUUCAAGGUCAGUUUGAAAAAUAUUUUAUAGUCAAAGAUGCUACUUUGUUCCUUCUAAGGUAUUGGAUUGAUCUUCCUUUUGGACUCUUAAGUUGAGUGAGAUUAGAUUGUUUCUGGGUGUUGAUAGCAUUUGGAUAAGAUUAGUUCUGGCUUUUCGUCUAUUUUCUCUAUUAAAAUGACUGAUUUUUUUUCAAUUCCAUAAGAAGUUUUGUUUUUUGUUGGUUCAUAGGGUAUAGAUUACUACUACCUCAGAUGUGGGUAAGAUAGCCGCAUACACAAUUUUAACUCAGUCCUGUUUUUGUCCAAUUAUUUUGUUGCAAUGUUGCUUUUAAUUAAGUUAAUUUUCCAACUAGUUUUGCGACUGUUGGUGAAAAAUCAUCUGUUAUGCCGGAGAAUUUCAUAAGUUGAAUUGCUUAUUGGAACACGCGGUAUGUAUGUGCUUAUACCUUAGAUGCCCAAGAAGGCAACAAUAUCGUUUCAUACUUAGGUUUUCAUUUUGUGAAGGCUUGACAGAAGUUUGAAGAAGCUUAUUGUAUGUAUGUAGGCAUGUACCCAUAUACUAAUUUGUACAUAAGACUCUUUAUGAAUGUUGCCUGACUCGUUUUCUCAUCCUAAUUGCUUUAGCUUCCAUAUUGUAUUGUAGAAUGGCUGAAAGUAAGCAUUUUAUUUGUAUUCAUUAUAGUCUUACUGCUAAGGAAUUGAACAAAUGGUUAAUUUUCUUAGUGUUGGAUUAGGUUUCCUGAUGAUCCACCUGGCGUAACGAGAUCUGAAAGCUGGUGAACUUGUAUGAAUGUACCUGUUAUUUCAUUUGGUGGGAGUGAAUUUUAUUCAAGGUGAAAUACACGAAUCAUUGAAACUGAAUUUUCUUUUAUUCUCUUAGUCCGAAGAAUACAUAUGCUCUGACCAGUAGUGAUAAUGAUACAUUGCUUCUUUUAUAUCUAUUCUUAAUCAUAUUAUAUUCAUGCGGAUAACGUCAUUUUUAUAUCCAUGUUGUAAUCGAUUGUAUCCAUACAUAUUUUGUGUAUACCACUUAUGAUAAUACAGCCAAGCAAUCUCAUGCAGUUGGCGAUUGUGGUUCCUCUACACAAUCAUCCCACUCUGUUAUUGAUGAUCAACCAGAAAAAUGGGUUCAUGUUACUUACGAUAGAUGUUACUUCUGAAAAUUUGGGCAUUAAUGAAAUUUUAUUGGGACAAGAUUUUUCUUAGUUCUCUGUUGACUCUGUUGCGUGAAGUUUUAUAUGUUUUCUAUUUUCUUGUGCACAUUAUUUACUGUAUCUUGUCUGUUUAGAAUAAAUGACAACUAUAUUUUUUUUAUUGAGAUUGUCCAGAGAUGUGCAGGAGGGUAUUUCAUACGCACUUCCCCCAUUUAUAUUUUUUGAAGCUAUCCUGGAUUGGUCCUUUCUAUGGCAUUAACUUCAUUAUUUACUUAUUGGGGCAAACAUUCCACAGAGAUUUGGAAGCUUGAGUUUGUUGUUUAAUGGCUACCAAAUUGAUUAUCACUUAAUUACAAGGUACGAAAUUUCAGCUUGGAUUGGUUAUUGAAAGCAAAGCUAAUCAGUCCAUGGAAAUAAGUUGGCAUGAGAACAUAAAACCUUAUUCUGCUCAGGUAUGUCUUAGUAUAUACAUGGAUUGAUAGCGAUUGAUUCAUACAUUUUUUUUUCUAAGUUGUAAUUGACGCUGCCUCCAAUCAUGUCUUAAGAGAAGAUAUUAUAUUUCUCGCCAGUAUAAUCCCAAUAUAUGCUUGGGUUUUUAACAUGCAUGGGUUCAUUGUAGAAACAUUAAGCAGUUGGAUAGUUGGAGUGGAAUUCGGCCAAUACGUAUAUAUUGAACUAUUCAAAUAUUCUCAACCCUUUGCUUCAUUUUUCAUGCGUGUCAACUGUGUAGCUUUCUUCAUGUUUGCUGACCAGCCUCACUCCUGCCUGUCUGCAAGUUCCAGUUUGCUGUCUUGUUCAAGAACUGUUGCUAUGAGAUUGAUUUUGCUGCCUGGGUGUCUCCUUGUAAAGGAUCCUUUUAUCUUGCAGGGUCUUGUAGUGUUCGGAAGUUGUUGUUUUUCCGUAUUCUUUUGUUUUUUUAGUGUUUGAUAAUUGAUGCUAAUUACGUAUGUAUUAUUAGCAUUUUGUAAAAGUCGUACAAGCGAGUUCGAGUCUGUAGAAACAUUUUUGUUUAAAUCAUAUAUAUUUUUCUA